UGGAAGGAAAGCUAACAGUGGGAAGAAGAGGGGAGGUCCAGGUUUCCAGAGGUUCUUAUGCAACAUGAGGGGAGUGUAUAAAAGGUCAAAAGUGGGAGAGAACACUGGAGGAUCUCUGUGAACAGUUCACCUCUGUUUGAGAACAGACACAAUGUUGCGCUACCUUGUGGCCCUCAGCCUCCUGGCAGUGUCCUGGGCUCAGGACUGCCAGGUGGCCAACAUACCGGUCAUGCAGAACUUUAACAAAUCAAGGUACGCAGGUCAGUGGUACGCUGUCGGUAAAAAAGACCCCGAUGGUUUGUUCCUGCUCGACAACAUCGUGGCAAACUUUAAUGUUGACGAAGACGGAAUAACAACUGCUACUGCCAGAGGCAGAGUGUAUAUCUUUAAGUACUGGGAAGUGUGUGCUGAUAUGAGGGCCACCUUUGAAGAUACCAGUGAUCCUGCCAAGUUUAAGAUGAAGUACUGGGGAGUUUCAGCUCUACUGCAGACUGGAUAUGACGACCACUGGGUGAUUGACACCGACUACGACAACUACGCCGUCCAUUACUCAUGCAGAAAGGUGCACGAGGUGAACGGCACAUGCGCGGACAGCUACUCGUUCAUUUUCUCACGUCACGAAAGUGGUCUGAGGCUAGAAGACCAACAAAUUGUCUCCGCCAAGAAGCACGACAUCUGCCUGGCCGGCAAAUACAGACGCGUGACGCACACACCUGGACAGUGCGAGAACCUCACACCUAUCGACUCAAUCCCAGUUCCUGGCCCAGAGGAUGAGGCACACCAAAACAUCUGAUUGGACCUGCGACUGGAUUCCAAAUCUAUUUACAUCGAUCACAGAAACACCAGAAGAACUCUACUAUUAUUAUCAAUAAAAAUAAAUAAAACAUAAGUUGGAGGGGCGGGGGUGGUUUAAGGUAAAGGUCCAUUUCUUUUUCAAUAUUUGUUGAGUUCUAGCUGUUGGUCAGGGCUUCGGUCCUGGGGGAAGAAGAGUAGGACUGAAAGUGGAGUUGUCACCUCUGGGACAUUGGGCCUCAGUGUUCGUUACUGGUUCCCUUCUUGUUCUCCUCUUCCCUCUCUAAGGUAGUCACCCAUUUCCAAAUAAUGAACUCAAAAUGUGUAGAAGCAGUCAUAUUUAAAUGGUGCUGGUCCUUGUUAAAUCUGAACAUCUCUAAAGAAUACUGUAAAAUCUUUAAAGUCGUGUGAGGAUUAGGAACACCCAAUGGUUAGUGAUACAUAAUACUGCCAUGUUGGUAGUAAUGCCACAUAGUCUACUUCUCAUUGAUUGAAAAAAAAAAAGUCUGCUUUGUUUGACUUAAACAUUGAAUAUCUGGUAUGAAUAUAUCUAAAUAACCCUGUAUACAGACACAGUUAUACACAUGUAAGUCUUGUGAUCAUUUGGUUGUAUAUUGAUUAUUUCAUGUUUGCCUAUUGACCCAGUUUUUAAAAUAAAAUACUUAUAUAUAUAUAUAUAUAUA
Molecule: RNA transcript, 1475 nt
Organism: Cynoglossus semilaevis (tongue sole)
Lineage: Eukaryota; Metazoa; Chordata; Actinopteri; Pleuronectiformes; Cynoglossidae
Gene: rbp4
Gene name: retinol binding protein 4, plasma
Exons: 7
Source: RefSeq, a predicted model, not a curated record